UACGUAGGAGGCAAGCGUUGUCCGGAAUUACUGGGCGUAAAGCGCGUGUAGGUGGUGGGACAAGUCUGCUGUGAAAGCGCCUGGCUUAACCGGGCGAGGUCGGCGGAAACUGUUCGACUCGAGGACGGUAGAGGGGGGUGGAAUUCCCGGUGUAGUGGUGAAAUGCGUAGAGAUCGGGAGGAACACCUGUGGCGAAGGCGGCCCCCUGGGCCGGCCCUGACGCUGAGACGCGAAAGCGUGGGGAGCGAACAGG
Molecule: ribosomal RNA, 253 nt
Filed under: uncultured bacterium
Lineage: Bacteria
Description: partial 16S ribosomal RNA
Rfam family: Bacterial small subunit ribosomal RNA
Source: RNAcentral